This 805-nucleotide ribosomal RNA is filed under the name uncultured organism. RNAcentral describes it as "bacterial SSU rRNA". It matches the Rfam family "Bacterial small subunit ribosomal RNA", at positions 32 to 817 of the family's 1533-position model. The record is from RNAcentral.
AACGCUAGCGGCAUGCUUAACACAUGCAAGUCGAGGGGUAAGGUCUACUUCGAGUGCGAUACACGACCGGCGAAUGGGUGAAUCACACGUAUGCUACUUACCUUCAUGCUGUCAGAAUAGCUCCGGGAAACCGGAAUUAAUACUCCAUAGCAUAUUAAACACACAUGUACACAAUAUCGAAUCUCACGCGGUUAAAGAUGGGCAUGCGACGCAUUAGUCCCUCGGCUGGGUAGCGGCCUACCAAGACAGCAAUGCCUAAGGGGUCUGAGAGGAUGAUCCCCCACACUGGCACUCAGACACGGGCCAAACUCCUACGGGACGCAGCAUCUGACGAAUAUCGGGCAAUGGGCGAUAAUCUUGACCCAACCAUGCCGUGUGCCGGAUGACUGUCCUAUGGAGUCGUCGAGCUGCUUGUCUAGCGGGAAUAUUCCCCCCGUUCUUCUGGGGUUGACGGCACCGUAUGAAUCCCGGUCUGCUUACUCCGUGCCAGCCGCCGCGGUUCUUCGGAGGCCCCGAUUGUCCAUCCGUGAUUUACUGGUUUUAGAGGGUUCGCCGGCGGGAAUAGUUCGUCUAUGGUGAACGGCUGACAUCUCCAACUGUAUUAAUUUGCCAUUGAUACUGCUAUUCUUUGACUGCAGACUAAGCGAACGGACUGUGUUAUGUAUCGGUGACAUGCAUAUAUAUCACACAGCACACCGAUAGCGUAAGCAGCUCGCUAGCCUGUAACCGACGGCUGAGGCACGAAAGCACGGGAAUCGAACAGGAGUAGAUACCCUGGUAGUCCACGCUGUAAACGAUGAUCACU